UUUAUAUCAUAUAUAAUAUAUAUUUGUAUGUUUAUAUCAUAUCCUGGUUAUAUUAUAUUCUAUGUCUAAUAAUUUCAAUAUUGAAGUUUAUGAGCCUUUUUAUACUAUCCUUUGUUCCUACUGCUUCUUAAUCAAUCAUAUUAUGUUUCCAUUUA
Molecule: non-coding RNA, 155 nt
Organism: Ceratotherium simum simum (southern white rhinoceros)
Lineage: Eukaryota; Metazoa; Chordata; Mammalia; Perissodactyla; Rhinocerotidae
Source: RefSeq, a predicted model, not a curated record